Thunnus maccoyii (southern bluefin tuna) is the source of this 1252-nucleotide long non-coding RNA. RefSeq lists it as uncharacterized. The record is from RefSeq and is a predicted model, not a curated record. Lineage: Eukaryota; Metazoa; Chordata; Actinopteri; Scombriformes; Scombridae. The transcript is spliced from 3 exons.
CUUGUUUGCCAUUCAAGGCGCCCUGCCAACAAUUUUACAGGCUUCUCGUUUAUAAUGGCGGUCUAUGGACCACAGGGAAUUUUCUUAGUUGCACUACCACAGAUAGGUACUCAGGCAAAUUGAUAGCACAGCUGUGGAGAAGGGUCCUGCUGCAGCCUGUUGACCAGGGGGUGAGGAAUGAGGGGCUGCAACGUGUAAUCCCCCCUCAGACCACAGUGCGGGUUGCGAUGGCAGAGUGGCGCUGUCCGUAUUUCUGCUCGCUGACUCCGCGGAACUUAUGAAGGCUGCAUAAGCAAGGUUUCAAAGUUUAUGACUGCUGAAAACUUUAGCCAAAAUAUGAGAUAUUAGUUUCUUUUUAUGUUUGUGGUGAAUGAAACUUUGUUUGGGCUGAUAUUCAUCUGCUGGGCUUCAGUAAGUUUGUUCCUGACAUUUAUUCAGCUGUUUCUCAGCUGUGGAACCAGAUGAACGGUAAGAGACAAUGUUGUUUUAUGUCUGAAUUUUUGUCAUAUUCAUAAUGUGACGUUAUUUUUCCACUCGAUAACAUUGGUAAUAUUAAAUGGUAAUAUCAGCAAUGAACAACAACAGAUGACUGUACUGUUCUGUCUCCUGUAUUUGUGACUGACAGUAAACCACUGUAGCAUUAUUGUCUCUGAUGUAGUCAGAUAGAUAAACUGAUUCAGAUAAACAAAGCCACGCCAAACUUUGCCUGAUAAACAGUGGACAUGGAGGUGCACAAUGUAAUAUUUGAAGUGUGAGUUAUAUAAAUGACCUGUGUGGGAAUUCUGCAGCUUGUUGUCUGAGCUGUCAGAAACUGAUCUGGACUCUUUCUAGACUGAUACUGACACAAGACAGAAGAAUUGGCAAGUAAUCUCACUGGGUUGUGCUUAUUUUCUUUACAGUCACCAGAGACCCAGCCUGAUCUGAACCAAAAGGUUCUCUGUGAUCACAGCCAAUGGAUACGUCAAUAACUCUGUGACAUCAUCUGGAGAUCUUCAUCAGUGGAUCUGAUGUCUGGUAAAAGCUCCUGUGUUUCCUUGAACUGGUCUCUAUCUUUAAGCACAUCAGUGCAACAUGACUCUUCUGAUCAUCCUCCUUACAUCCCUCCUCUGGUCACGCUGCAGCCUCAGCACCAGCUCUGACAGGACUAUAACCAGCCGCAUCUGUAUUUACUUUAUGUUUUCAUCAACAUUUGCAUAAGUCAAUCUUAUUGGCUGUGUUAUGUAUGAUUUUAUCAGAUGUAUUGAAUUAUAAG